AAAUGUCCAUAUCGCGAAACCAAUGAAGAAAAUGAAUGGCAUUGCUUCUUUGGUUGUGCAGCAUCGAUAGAGGUCUGGAGAAUAGUGCAAUUUGGAACCAAAUCAAGGAUUAUCUUGCUGCUGCUGAAGGUUGUGUACAAAUGCUUUUUAAGAUGUUGAUGAGCUUAAUAAUAAUAUCAUGAGUGAAAUUGUCAUACUGCUUUGGACCUUAUGGUGGAGAAGAAAUAAAAAAUGCUGGAAUGAUACAACUCCCACAUUGUUUAAUGUUGCUAGAAGAGCUAAGGAGAGUUUAAUGGACCGGAAAAAAGUGCAGAAGAGAAGC
RNAcentral lists this long non-coding RNA (322 nucleotides) under Trifolium pratense (red clover). RNAcentral's name for it is "long non-coding RNA (TPRA_LNC012531)". The record is from RNAcentral. Lineage: Eukaryota; Viridiplantae; Streptophyta; Magnoliopsida; Fabales; Fabaceae.